Molecule: long non-coding RNA, 1033 nt
Filed under: Citrus sinensis (sweet orange)
Lineage: Eukaryota; Viridiplantae; Streptophyta; Magnoliopsida; Sapindales; Rutaceae
Description: long non-coding RNA (CSIN_LNC000969)
Source: RNAcentral
AAUGGCCUCUAUUGAUUUCUUCCUUGGCAUUUUUGCUCAUAGCCACUACUGCCACGGCUGCUUAUGAGCCUUACAUUUAUGCCUCACCACCUCCACCGCCUUACUAUUACAAGUCACCACCACCACCAGAAUAUUCUCCACCACCACCUUACUACUACAAAUCUCCACCACCACCUGAGAAGUCUCCCCCGCCACCUUACUACUAUCACUCACCACCUCCUCCUAAGAAGUCACCCCCACCACCUUACUACUAUAAGUCUCCGCCUCCGCCGAAGGAAUAUCCCCCACCACCUUACUACUACAAGUCUCCGCCACCACCGGAGAAGUAUACCCCGCCACCUUACUACUACAAGUCUCCGCCCCCACCCGAGAAGUAUACCCCGCCACCUUACUACUACAAGUCACCGCCCCCUCCGCCACCUUACUACUACAAGUCUCCGCCACCACCGGAGAAGUAUACCCCGCCACCUUACUACUACAAGUCACCGCCCCCACCCGAGAAGUAUACCCCGCCACCUUACUACUACAAGUCACCGCCCCCACCGGAGAAGUAUCCCCCUCCACCUUACUACUACAAGUCACCGCCCCCACCGGAGAAGUAUCCCCCUCCACCUUACUACUACAAGUCACCGCCCCCACCAGAGAAGUAUCCCCCUCCACCUUACUACUACAAGUCACCGCCCCCACCAGAGAAGUAUCCCCCUCCACCUUACUACUACAAGUCACCGCCCCCACCAGAGAAGUAUCCCCCUCCACCUUACUACUACAAGUCACCACCGCCACCAGAGAAGUAUCCCCCUCCACCUUACUACUACAAGUCACCACCGCCACCACCUUAUUAUUAGAAGUCUCCUCCACCUCCCUCUCCAUCUCCACCCCCUCCAUACUACUAUAAGUCGCCACCUCCUCCUUCUCCAUCUCCACCCCCACCGUACUAAUAUUUGUCUCCUCCACCUCCUAAAGGCUACUAAAUAUACAAUGUGUUGUUGAAACAUGUGUGAUCUUAGUUAUGUAAGAAUAAGUGUAAGUUUGU